Molecule: long non-coding RNA, 42507 nt
Filed under: Gossypium raimondii (Peruvian cotton)
Lineage: Eukaryota; Viridiplantae; Streptophyta; Magnoliopsida; Malvales; Malvaceae
Description: long non-coding RNA (GRAI_LNC004213)
Source: RNAcentral
AACUUCGUUUUCCUCUUCCUCGUCUUCGGCAAUCCAAUCGUCAGACGAUGGCCGGAAAACCAAAGAUUGAACGAAGUCAAGCCCAAAGAAACCCAAAAGGUAAAUAAACGAUGCGAAAAACGCGAGAAUCGCGAUGAUCUCAGAAAAGGUGACGACAUGGAGAGGCGUGGAGGUACGGAUCUUCUCACGCCAACGGGAAAGAAGGAAAUAAACCACCGAGAAGAAGAGGGUAAAGAACACCGCAUUCGUCAGAUGAAAAGGAAGCGGCAAUGCGUCGGAGGCUUUAGUGGGAUCUUCCUCUAAAGGAAUCUUCUUCGUGGGCUUGAGAGAUUGAACUCGUUUAGUCGAAUACAGCCGGGGAGCCUCCAUUUUGGGUGUCGACGGCGGCGGAAACCCGGCGGUGGAGGAGGAGAAUAGAAGAGGAAUGAAAGUAAGAGAUGAUUUCAGUUAGUUUUACGAUUAUGGUGAAGGUGGAGCUUGAGAUGCUAGAGUUUAGGGAGGGAAGGGGAGUAUUUAUAGGAUAAAGAGUAAAGAGAGCGUGAGGAAAAAGGCGCGUGAAGUGAAGAUGGGGCAGUGUUUGGCACUUGUUAGUGUGGAGCUUUACCAAGAGAAGAGUCAAAGAAAGAAUUAUAGGGAUAGUGUUUGGAAGCGUGCAGUGCAUGGGAGCAACGUCGUCAGCACAUCCUGGCUGCUUCAUUUUCAUUUAGGGUAAACUACACAAUCAGUCACUAAAGUAUGGGUACGUUUUUGUUUUGAUCACUGAACUAAAAAAGUUACAAUUUUGUUACUGAACUAUUCAAAAGUUUCCAUUUAAGUCACUGAGCUGUUAAAAUCGAUGCUACACAGCUUUUUCUCUUCACACUGCCUACAUGAAUCGGAAGUUCUCUUUCCCUUUCUUUUUUACGAUUCAAUUUUUUUCUACAACUUUUUUCUUCGUUAGAAAAUGACCUUCAGAUCGACUUGAAUCUAAGAUAUGUUCUUUUACUUGCUAAUGGGUAUUGAUCCACUGUACCAGUCGUUGAGUCGUCACUUGGAGCUCGUUGACAGAAUUUUUAAAAAAAAAUAGUUAACAACCUAGUGACUUAAACAAUUUUUUUUGAAUAGUUCAAUGACUUAAAUGAAAAAUUUCAAAUAUUUUAGUGACCAAAUUGUAACUUUUUAGUUAAGUGACCAAAACGAAAACUUAUCCAUAAUUUAGUGACUAAUAAUAUAAUUUUCCAUUCAUUAUAUUUGGUCUUUCUCCCUAUUUUGAUAUUUUCUGUCACGUGUUUUUCAUUAUUGUAUGGGUUUAAUUAUUCCUUAUUUUGGGUUGUUUUUCAUAAUAAAUUAUCCAAAUAAAUAUUAACGCUGUUGUUAAGUUAUAUACAUUUUUGGGCAAAUGUCUAUUAAAAGAAAUAGAAAUGAAAGAAAGUCGUAUUUAUUAUUAGCAUAAUUUUUUUACCUUCCAAAUUUAUAAAAAAAUUAUUUAUUUUAUCUCUUUUAGUCUUUCAAUUUAUUUUUUUAUCAAAUUAUUUCAAAAUGAAUUAAAAAGUUAAAAUUCUUUAACUUUGUUGAUGUUACAUACACGUGGAUUACCAUCUAGAUAACACAUAAAUAUUUAAAAUCUUAAAAACAUUAACAAAUAUAUAUUUUUAUAAUUUUAUACUUUUAUAAUACUUUUAUUGGUUUUUAAAUUUUAAAAAUAGUUUUUAAAAAUAUAUUUUUAAAAUUUUAAAUUUAAAAAAAUUAAUUAAAUACCGGCGUGUUAUCCACGUGACAAUGCACGUGUAUUCAAGUAAGCAAAGUUAAACAACAUCAACUUUUUCAUUCAUUUUGAGGUAAUUUGAUAAAAAAAUUAGUUUAAGAGCUAAAAAAGGACAAAAUUAAAUAGAAAACUAAAAUGACAUUUUUUUGUAAAGUUAAAGAAUCAAAUAAAUUAUUAUGCCUUUAUUAUUUAAUAAAAUUUAUGCAAAGUAGGACUUUGACUUGAAUUCAUAAUUAAUUUUGAUUUUUUCCUUUUGCUCGUAAUUAAUUGGAUAAGUUUAUAAUUUAAAUUAAUAUGUAAAAAAAUUAAAAUAUAGAGCUUUCACAGCUCAUUUUUCCUUUUUAGAUUAUUAUUUUUUUGCAUGUUUAUUAAAUUAAAGUUCAAAUUUGACAUUUUUAAUAUUUUAAUAUAAUCAAAUUAGACCUAUUUUAUAUUAAAUAAAAUCUAACCCAUUCUUUAAUCCUUAAUUUUCACGUUUCUGUAUUUUUUUCCCAUCAAUUCAAGCAGCCUCUUGCUCUGUAGUCAUAUGUAUGUAUAUAUGACAAUAAUUAUUAUUCGGUUUACGUGGACUUUUAUACAAUAAUGAAGAUUUUUUUUAGGGUAAAUUAUUAAAACAUCAUUUCAAAAAUCAAGUGUAAUAAACAAAAUCCUUAAUCCAAUAAUAAUAAUAAUAAUAAAUUGGAUCUUUGAAUUAUCGUUUCUAUCACGACUCUUGAUAAUUAAUUACUGACAUGAUAAGUGAUGUGGUGGGUGACAUGAAACUUUUGAUGAUAUGGUGGUUGAUAUGGAGGACUUAAUUGAUUUUUGUUAUUAUUUUAGGAGGCUUAAUUGAUGUUUAAGGAUUAUAUAACAAUUCUUAAGAAAUUAUUGAAAAUUAUUAAAAAAACAAAAAUGGAAAGAAAAUAUUAAAAUUAUUAUAAAAUUUUAGCUAAAAGUUAUUAAAAUAUUUAAAAAAUGUUGAAAAUUAUACAACUAUAGAAUUUAUUAAAUAUCAUAAAAUUUUAAAACUAUUAUUAAUAUGUUAUGAAAAUAAUGGAAAUAUUAAAUUAAUAUUAUAAAAAAUUUAGAAAUGAUAGGAAAUGAUAUAAAAACAAUUAAAAUGAUAAAAAAAUAAAAAUAAAAAUUAUUGAAAGUAUAAAAAAUUUGAGUUAAGGUAGUGAUUGUAUAGACGAUAAAAAUUUUAUAUGCUUAAAAGUUAAUGACAUGGUUUAUUCUAUUCGUGCCUAAAAACAUUAAUUUAUAAAAUAAUUUAUUUUUAUAAAUAUUAAUAUAUACACUUUUUUAGAUUGAUAUGAUAGAAAAAUCGAAUCGAUUAAAAAUUUUACAAUAAAAUGAUUUAAAAAAAAAAUAAAGAAUGUUUUUUGGGCUACGUAAAAGAAUAUUGAUCACUCUAUAAGACUGGUUUUUUAUAUCCUUUUGCAUAUAUUUUAGUAGAUAAGGGAGAAAUUAUUUUCUUUACGCCUCUGGUUUCUAUACGGCUGAAAUUUUCAUUCAGUCAAUGACAUGAAUUUCAAAAUAGGAUGCCUAUUUAAUUUUUAUAAAUACAAAUGAUUGUACCCAAAUAUAAUAAUUUGCAUGCGUAUAUAUAUUUGAAUAAUUUCUGAUAGUUCUCUUUAAUAUUACUUAUAGUCUAUUCCCAGCUCAUAAAUAGGAGGAUAAUGUGAUUCAGCAUACUCAAACCCACGUCAUCUUGCAUUGAAAACAAUAAUCAUACUAAUCGAACUAAGACUCAAUCAACAAUUUGCAUAAUUCAUGCAAUUGGUGAUUAUUAUAAAACAACAUUCAAUAAAUAUUAAUAUUCAAAUGUUAAAUUUAUAAUUGUUUGUGCUAUUUUAGGUUCCAACAAGUUAAAAAUUCGUGUUGGGUUAGUUUUUUUUAUAUAUAUGUUUCUGGAGAUCUGUUAAAGGAUGCAGUCAAUUAUCAGGAGUCACUCUCGAAGGGUCUUAUCAUAUAAUAGAACACAAUAAUGGUAUUUGUUAAAAUUGGAAUCUAAGAUGGUGAAAAGGAGGAUAGCCACCUUUGACUUAACCUUUUGUACAUUAUGGAUGCGAUGAGUCUCUUGAUUGAUCGAAGUUUAUUGUCAGCCUUUUGUACAUCACAGAUGCAGUGAGUCUCUUGACAGAUAUUUCUUGGUUGACUGGAGUUUAUUGUCAGGUUGGUUUGAUGAUGGCACGAUUAAGAUACAAUUUUCAAUGGUUUGAUCAAGAUGGUACAUUUUUUGUUUGUUUUUGAAUUCUUUUAGAGUUACGAAUAUUUUACAAACAUAUAACAUAUGAGCAUCAAUUUAUAAUUUAUUAUAUCCCAUAUUUUUAUAUUCUUAUUAUUCAUGAUUGCUAUUAAUGAUAUGUUUUCUUUGUACAUAUAUGAAAUAGACGAUAAGAUUGAAGUAAUUUCUUUUUCCAAAAUAAUAAGCAUGCAUGAGAAUUGUUCAUCGCCAUGUGCUAAAGACUUGGACUGUUUGUCAAAGUUCUCUUCAAAAAAAUCAUAUAACUCACAAUGAAAGUUUAUAUAUAUAUAUAUAUAUAUAUAUAUAUAAGCAUAGUCAGGCCAACCAAUGUAGAAAAAAACUAACAUGAUAUCAUCUUUUCUUAUUGCCCAGUAUUUAUUUAGCAAAUAUUGACUGUAAUAUUGUCAUGAUUAGACCAUAUUAUUUUUGGACAAGAACAAGGUCAUUUCCAGUAAAUUCAAAAUAAAAUAUUAACUUAGUUUUAAAAUUAGAUUAAAAAGACAAUGUAACCCAAAAAGUUCAAAUAAGCCCCUAUUUUAAUAAAAUCAGUAGGUUCAAAUUUAAAAUUUCGAACAAAAUUAGGUGUCUAUAUAGAUAUUUUGUUAAAUACCAAAAUUUCCAAUGAAUUAUCAAAAUUUCUAAACUUAUACCAGAAUACCAAAAUUUCUAAAGUAAUAGUUGAUAUACCAAAGAUAUUACGUUAUAUGCCACAAUUUUAAGGGAAUACCAAUAUUUCUAAGCAAUCUCAUUAGAAAUUUUGGUAUACCAAAUCAUGUUACACAAACUUUUACCAAAAUUUCUAAGAGUUCAACAUUUUAGAUCACAAUUUCAAAGUAAAUAUCAAUAUUUCUAAGGAACCUCAUUAGAAAUUUUGGUAUACCAAAAUCAUGUUGCACAAGCCUAUACCAAGAUUUUUAAUGAAAUGCUAAAAUUUCUAAGCGCAUAUCUUUAGAUAUUUUGGUAUACCCAAAUCGCGUUAUAGAAGCUUUUACCAAAAUUUCUAAAAGAAUAGUAAUAUUUCUAAGGAACCUUGCUAGAAAUUUUGGUAUAUCAAAAUCAUGUUACACAAGCCUAUACCAAAAUUUUCUAGUGAAAUACCAAAACUUCUAAGCACAUAUCUUUAGAUAUUUUAGUAUAUGCUUCAAUUUCUAAGGGUACCAAUAUUUCUAUGGAACUUUGUCAAAAAUUUUGGUAUGCCAAAAUCAUUUUACACAAGAUUUUACCAAAAUUUCUUAGAGCUUAACCUUAGAUAUUUUGGUAUGUAGCGCAAUUCUUAAGGGAAUAUCAAUAUUUCUAAACAACCUCGUUAGAAAUUUUGGAAUACUAAAAUUAUGUUACACAAGCCUAUAUUAAUAUCUUUAAUGAAAUAUUGAAGUUUUUAAGAGCUUAUCCUUAGAUGUUUUGACAUAUACCACUUUUUGUAAGGGAAUACCAAUAUUUCUAUAGAACUCUGUUAAAAAUUUUAGUAUACCGAAAUCUAGAUUUACAAACUUAUAUCAAGAAUUCUAACAAAAUACCAAUAUUUCUAAUAGCAUAUCCUUAAAUAAUUUGAUAUAUUCCAAAAUUUAUAAUGGAAGACCAAAAUUUCUAUAACUUUCAAUGAACUACAGUUCUUGGUAAAUCUAUAUACCUAUAUAUAUAUAUAUAUAUAUGAAAGGAAAAACAUCCUCCUUUUCUUGAUAGAUGGCACACCUAAAAUCAAUGGCGGACGUUAUAGAUGGCACACCUACAAUCAAUGGCGGAGUCAAGUAGAGGCUUAGGGGACCAUGACCUCCCAAAGUUUAAUUUUUUUUAAUUUAGUCCUUUGUAAAUAUACUAUGGCCCUUCCUAAAAUAUAAGUAGAUCCUCCUAAAGUUUAAGAUUUUUGCAAUUUCCCCCUUUAUAUAUAUUAUGGUUCUCCUAAAAAUAUAAAUACUCCCCUCCAAUAUUUUUAUAGUAUUAAAAAUAAAAUUAAAAAAAUUAUUCUUGAUAAAAACAAAGAAAAAUAUUCUUGAAGAUGCUAAAUUACUCAUGAUGACUUUUGAAUGAUAUUUUUGUUAAAAAAUAAUAAAUCAAUUGUUAUAUUGAAAUACUCCUUCUUUUGAAUUGAUUGUUUAUAUGUUUAAAUCGAUUGUUACGUAACACGUCUAAUUUUAGCAUGAUCCCCUCCAAAAUUAACAUCUUGGCUCCGCCACUGCCUACAAUACUCCUUUUAUUUUGCAUUCAAUAAAAAAAGUUAAAUUUCAAUUUCGGUUCAUCUAAUAUGCCUAAACUUGAGAUUUAAUAUAUAUACUUUAAUUUCUAACAUAAUUUGGUUUCUAUAUAUUAUUAUAAUAUUAUUAAUCAGUUCAAAUAGUUAAUAUUAUUCACUUUUCAAUUAAAAUAUUAUAUGGUUAUAUAUAAUUUGAAUACCUUAAUAGUCUUGGAGGCUAACAUACAGCUUUUUGUUUCAUUUAAGUUCGUGUCAUUUUUUUAACAUUAUAAGAUAAUGGUCAAAUUUUAUUUUUGGCCUCUAGACUAUGUUAAAACUUGAGAUUAAUCUAUAUACUUUAAUAUUUUACAUAAUUUGGGCUAUCUACUUUUAUAAUGUCAUUAGCUGGUCUAAAUAAUUAAUAUUAUUAACUAUUUUAAUUAAAAUGUUGGGUAAAUUUUUCUUAAGAACAUUAUUUCAAGAAGAAAAAAAUUAUUUUAUCGAAUUUAAAUGAGUGUUUUUAAGAGAAACUCCUAAUCAAUAUUUUUAACAUUAUUUUUAUUGUUACAUGACUAUUAAGGGAAUCUUUUUAUUUUAAAAUGUCCACCAGAGAAUUUAAUAUAAUAAUUUUAUCGAUGGUAACAAUUGAGCUAAAAUUUUUAAUUUGAAAAGUAGAUAAUUAUGUUCUUAAAAAUAAAAGUAAGACUAAAUUUCAAAUGAACAAAGUGUAUCAGGUCUUAGAGUAUAUUUUAAUCUUCAAAUUUUUACUUUAUAAUUUCACACAAAUAAAUAAUCAACUUAACGUGAAGCAUGAGAUGAGAACCUUAUUAGUAUUUUUCAAAAGUUGCUUAAUGCGCUUUAAAAGUUAUCAAGUAUUUUACAUUAAGGCAAAAAAAAAGAGAGAGAGUAAACUACACUCAAUUUCACUAAACUACUAGUAAAUUUACAUUUAGGUUACUCAACUUCAGAAAGUUAUAAAAUGAUCAUUGAACUAUUUGAAAGUUUUCAUUUAACUUGGCGGACUGUUAAAAUCAUUGAUGUAUGGCCUUUCCUAUUUGCAUCGCAAACACCAAUUGAAAGCUUUCCUUCCCUUUCUCUUCUACAUUUCAAUUUUUUUUCAUGAAAUAACUUUGAACGUGACAAAUCUGUAAACAAAAAUCUAAACAGCUUUCUUCUUUAAUCUCUAACACUAAUCGUCAGAUCAACUUGAAUAUAAUGCAUGUUCUUCUACUCAUCAAUUGGUACAGAUCCAUCGUACUGAUCGUUGAACCAUUGCUUGGAGCUCGCUAGCUUGGCCUUUUAAAAAAAAAAAAACCCUUUAUAACCCAAUGACUUAAAUGAGAGUGACCAUUCUGUAAUAUUUUGAAGUUGAGUGAUUUGAAUAUAAACCUACUAAUAGUUAUCUUUGGUUUAGUUUACCCAAAAAUAUAUAUUAUAUAUAGUUAAUAUAUGUCAUAAGUCCCUAUACUAUUCAUAAAAUUGAAAUUUAAUCCAUCUUAAUUUCUAGAAAUUUAAUCCUAUACUUUAAAGAUUUUUCAAAAUUCAAAUUCAAUUGUUAACAUUGUUAAAAUUAUUUUAUUAAAUUCAUGUUCGUUAUAACAUUAUAUUUCUAUCAAGUGAGUUUUUUUUUAAAUGUCACGCCAAUAAAUUUUAAAAAAAAAUAAUGUUAACAAGUGUACCAAUAUUUUGAAAUCUCAAGAGUAGAAGAAUUAAAUUCUUGAAAAUAAAAAGCAUAAGAACUAAAUUUGAAAUUUAUGAAGAGUACAAUGAUUUAUGACAUAUAUAAACCUAUAUAUAAUAAAAGAAAGGAAAAAACAAAAAUACCAAAUAAAUACCAACAAGUGUUAAGGACAACAUAUCGCAUAGGAGACACAAGUUUAAAUUUUGAACACAAUAUAGUUAGGAGAAGCAGCCAUAAACCCAAACACAAACAGUAAAAGGGACAUUUAAAAUACCAAAAAAAUUACAAAAUAAAUAAAAAAAAACUACAAAGGGAAGUUUAUGCUGCAAGAGAUGAAACGCUGUGGACCAACUAAUUUUUACUCGUCAACUAAUUGGGUAUAGAUCCUUUGUUCCAUAUUCAUCAUCUACCAUUGUAAGAUAUGGCUUCCAAGGCCUCCCUGACGGUAUCAGAGUAAUUCUGUGCCUCUCUAAUGAAAUUAAUUGAUGACGGUUGGCCGGCUCGAAACACAACCUCAUUUCUCAUUUUCCGGAUAAUAAACAGACACCCAAAAGUUAAGACUGUAUCCUGAUCACUGAAGACAACCAGUGAGAGAUAUUAUACCGUGACAAUAAAUGGGAUGUACAUCUAAGCUAGACACAAGGAGAUAUGUCUCCUUAGUACUUUCUACCAUUGGAGAUUGCAACUUUACCCCCAAAUAUCAGACUAUCGUUACGUUUUCUCUAUGAAGAAGCCUUGGACACAUCCUUAGUUGACCUAUUGUACUUCAUAUGGCUCUUAACUAAUUGUCCUGCUGCAAUUGCAGACAUAAGCGACAGCUCCCCUGCAAGAACAGCAGACGCUACAAUGGUUGCCAGCGUCCUAGAGUUUGCUCCUGGUGUCUCUUUGCUUGCACCCUUCACUCCAAGUAAGUUCAAACAGGCUGAUUGAGAUGCAAGCUGAGUUCCACCACCAACAGUCCCAACCUAAAAGAUACAGCAACACAGAUUAUUAGAGACUAACAUAAAUACCCAGAUUUUGUUUUGGCAACGAAAGUCCUUGUGUUGGAUAAUCAGACAGCAACACUAUCAAUUACCUCGAUGGAAGGCAUUGUGACAGAGACGUGGAGGUCCUUUCCAUCAUUAACAGCUUCCAUCAUCGUGAUGCAAUGCGAGCUCUCGACAUUUUGAGCCGGAUCUUGGCCGGUAGCUAUGUAGAUUGCAGCAACGAUGUUACUGGCGUGAGCGUUGAAUCCACCCAGAGCUCCAGCCAUAGCUGAUCCAGUAAGGUUCUUAAGCAUGUUAAGCUCAACGAGAGAUUCCACACUUGUCUUCAAGACCUUCCUAACCACAUCACCCUUAAUGGUGGCUUCACAGACAACAGAUUUGCCUCGUCCUUCAAUCCAAUUUACCGCAGCCGGUUUUUUGUCGGAACAAUAGUUUCCUAUAUGCGCAAAUUCAUAAAUAUCAGUGAUCCUAUGUCGGAACAGUGAAAGACAUAAUUACAAGCCUAUACAAAAAACUGAAACUCACCAGAGAUGCCGAUGACAUCCAUGUCAGGGAAAUCAGUUUGAAGGAAAUCCAAAACGUUUUGCACUCCCUUGGAAACCAUGUUCAUCCCCAUAGCAUCACCUGUACUGCAAGUGAAUCUAAUAUACAGAUUCUUUCCAGCAAUUGCACAUUUGAUACCUUGGAGCCUGCCAAAUCUACUUGAUCUGCAACCACCAAAAAGCCAAAAUUUUCAAUAUUAGCUUGAAUUUUAAAUCCAUCAAUAUGGAGUUCUAGAAAUAUCAACACAAACCUGUUGAAAACAACAGACAAGGUCUCGAAAUUAUCAGGGUCCUCCAAAUACAACUUCAAAUCAGCUGCCCUUUUCGCAGUACCGAACCUUACACAUGGAGCUCUAGUCAUACCAUCUUUCAAUAGAACACUUGUAGCUCCACCAGACAAAUGAAUAGCCUUACAGCCCCUAUUAGUGCUAGCCACCAAGCACCCUUCCGUGGUUGCCAUAGGAACCGAGUACUCUCUUCCAUUAACCAACAAAGGCCCGGAAAUUCCAACGGGAAUUUGCACGUAGCCAACCGGCAUCUCACAACACUGCCCCAAAAUCGACUCGUAAUCAAACCCAUCCAAGGGCAAUCCUGAUAACGACUUCCCUGUUAAUCUUUGCAACGCUUCCCGCCUGAUUGCGGCCGCCCUCUUGCAAUCACCCAAUUUCGAUUCCAAGGAAUACGAAGGGGUUGUACCAGCCACUACAGAUUUAAUUAUUUCUUCAUCUUCCUCCGUUAGUACCGUCACAGGCUUUUCAUCGAACACCUUCUGAACGGUCACGAUUGGUGCCGCAGGAGGCAGAGGUGGAAGCGAACAAUCGAGAGCUUGCCCGCAAGGGACCUUACGGGCAUCUUCCUUUGCAAGCAGAACUUCAUCAUCCUCUUCCUCGUCCUCGGCAAUCCAAACGUCAGGCGAUGGUUGGAAAACCAAAGAUUGAACGAAGUCAAUCCCAAAGAAACCCAAAAGGUAAAUAAAGGACGCUAAAAAUGAGAGAAUGGCGAUGAUCUCGGAAAAGGUGACGACAUGGAGAGGUGUGGAGGUACGGAUCUUCUCACGCCAACGGGAAAGAAGAAAAUAAACCACCGAGAAGAAGAGGGUGAAGAACAGGGCAUUCGUUAGGUGCAAGGGAAGCGGCAAUGCGUCGGAGGCUUUACCGUGAUCUUCCUCUAAAGGAAUCUUCUUCGUUGGCUUGAGAGAUUGAACAGGUUUAGUCGAAUACAGCCGGGGAGCCUCCAUAUUGGGUGUCGACGGCGCGGAAGCCCGGCAGUGGAGAAGGAGAAUAGAAGAGGAGUGGAAGUGAGAGAGGAUUUCAGUUAGUUUUACGAUUAUGGUGAAGGUGGAGUUGGAGAUGCUGGAGUUUAGGGAGGGAAGGGGAGUAUUUAUAGGACAGAGAGUAAAGAGUGGUGGAGCGUGAGGAAAAAGGCGCGUGAAGUGAAGUGUUGGGCCCGUGUGAGUGGGGAGUCAAAGAAAGAAUUUGAAGGGCAGUGUUUGCGUGCAGUGCAUGUGCAUGGGGGCGCAUUGCAUUUUCCUUUCGUUUGGUCUUAUCUCCGUUAACUGCUAUUUUGUAUCUCUUUUAAUUAUUCCUUAUUUUGGGCAUUCAUUAAUUAAUAUGAGACCAUAUUUAAACUUUUGAUGAAUGGUAGUGAUAAAUAUAUAUAAUCUCGAAUAUAAAUCGUAAAAUUAACAUUAAAUAAAUAAAUAUAUAUAAUAUAUGUGAUAAAAUUUAUCAUUAGUAAUAUAGAUAAAGAUCACAGUGGAAUUUACUUCUUCGAUAUUUACAUAUUAUUAGUUUUAUAAUUGUUUAUACAAUGUUUAAAAUUAUAUAUAGCUCCUCUUAAAGGAUAAUGCGCACUCACUGAGUUAGGACUCAAUCGAUAACAAUCUUACAAAUUUUAUUUUAUAUAAAAAGAAGAGCUUCCAUUUUUUAUUAAAAAAUUACAGAUACAAUUGUGUUUAUUUUGAACAAAUGAAUUAUUCAUAUGAAUAUACAUUUUAGGGUAAAUAUUUAUAAAAAUUAAUUUUUUAAACUGGUAUGGUGAUUAACUAUUUAUAUUUAGGGUUUUGCACAGUUUUGUAUACGAUGGUGUAUUAAAUCCUGUGAAAAUAUUUCAAUGGAGAAGGGAGAAUUCAGUCUAUGACAUGAAAUUCAAAAUAGGAUGCCUGCUUUAUUAUUAUAAAUAUUGAUUCAUGCCGUCACCAUUAUUAUUUUAAAUCCUCUAAAUGAUUUAUAUAUUUAUAUAAUUUUGGAUAAUUUAAUUUAUCUUUUAAUGGAAAUGUUAAAAAAAUAAACUAUUAAAAUAGUCACUUUUGUUUACCUUAUAUUACAUUUUAGUUGUUGUAACAUUUUAGUCACUGAGCGGUUAAGUGUCAUUAAUAAUAUAAUGGUAAGCUAAUAUGGCAUGUUAAAUCAUCAUUUCAAACAAAAAAUUCAGGUUAAAUUAUACAAUUGGUCCAAUAUUUCUCUGUUUUGAACAAUUUUUUUCUUUAUUUUCCAUUCUCUUUUAUUUCUCUCUUUGUUUUCCUCCCUUUUUCAUUUUUUUAACUUAAUUUUUCUAUGUUUUCUAUUUGUUAAAACUAGUCCCUAUACUUUUAUUUUUUUGAACAUUUUAAAAUUUUUAAUUUUCCUUUUCUUCUUCUCCUUUAGUUUUAACAAAUGAAAAAUAUAGAAAAAUUACAUUAAAAGAGAUAGAAAAGGGAGAAAAACAGAGGAAGAAGUAGAAGAGAAAGAAAAAUAAAGAAAUUAAAAUGCUCAAAACGAAAAUAAUAUGGGGACCAAAUAUAUAAUUUAACCUAAAAUUUUUGUUUGAAAUGAUGAUUUAAUGUGCCACAUCAGCUUACCGUUACAUCGUUAACGGCUCAGUGACUAAAAUGUUACAACACGUUAACAUAAAUGACUAAAAUGUAACAUUUCAAACAUAACUGACUAAAAUAUAAUAAACUAAAGCAAACAAAAAAGUGACUAUUUUGAUUGUUUCCCUUUAAUAAAUGGUUCAUUACAGUAAUAUAUUAAAUUUAUUCUUAUUUUGUAUUAUUUUUCACAUGUGUAAUAUUCUGAUUAUUUUUUAAUGUUUAAUGUACUAACGUUUAAAUUUAUUCCAUCAUAGCCCAAGAAAAAUAAUAAGAAAUAGACGAUAAGAUUGAAGUAAUAUUUUUUCCAAAAUAACAAGCUUGCAUUCAUGCAUGAGAAUUAUUCAUCACCAUGUGCUAAAGACUUGGACUGUUUGUCAAAGUUUUCUUCAGAAAAAUCAUAUAAUUUAUAAUGGAAGUAUAAGCAGAGUCAGACCAACCAAAGAAGAAUCAUGAUAUCAUCUUUUUUUAUUGCCCAGUAUUUAUUUAGCAAAUAUUGACCGUAAUAUUGUCAUGGUCAGACCAUAUUAUUUUUGCACAAGUGACGCACGAAUAUUCAGUGUAGACUUGCUCAAAACAGUAGGAAAUGAUGAACAAGGUCAUUUCGUAGAAAUUGCAGUCAAUGCUCAUAUUUUGGCUUAAUCCAGCUGGAGUUUAGGUAAAAAUUGAUUCAAAAUUGGAUAACUAUAUAUAUAAUAUUGAUAUCAUAAAUAAGUUAUUUUAAUCCAAGUCAGUUCAAUCCAUGAAUACCUUUAAUAUGUAUACAUGAUAUGAUAUGUGAAAAAUGAGCUCAACUCAUGAAUAUUUCUCAUAUGUAUGCAUGCUUGAUGCAUGAUAUGUGGAAAAUAACUUAACUUGUUGUAUAGGUUUUGUACGGAGUAUGGACGGCAUUUAUAAGUUCAUUUUUGGAACUUGUAUUUUAGAGUGCAGUUGAGAACGUAAAUAAGUUUGUUGAAGUUUUCAGGGGGAGAAUUUAGAGGUGAGUAAUCUAGAUCUUUUGGUACAAAGUGAGGUUGCUCUAGCAGGAUGUGAUAAGACUUGAAUCAUUUGGUGUAUUGGGUUAAAAGAUAGUGGAUUUACUUACUAAGUUAGGCUUCACAAAUAAAGUAAAACUAAACUACGUAAACAACCUUUUGUGUUCUUGUUUUGUUGUUUUUGUCACAAUGCUACCUUCAAUUGGCAUAUCGCAAUUGAAGAAGCAAAAGUUUGUCUGGAAGAAGAAAGAUCCUAAGUGCUUGAUGUACAGUGUUUCGGUAAUGGUUGCUUUCAUCACAUGAUAGGUAAUCAUGCAUACUUUUCUAAUUUUGGAGAUCAUCAUAAGGGUCUAGUCACAUUUGGUGAUGGUAAGAAAUGUCAUAUCCAUGGAAACGGAACACUUAAUGUCCUUGGAAUGCUAAAGUUGAAGAAUGUGUUGAAAGGUCAUAUUGUUAAUGACUUGAAAGCUAAUUUGGUGAGCAUUAUCUAAAUGUGUGACUAAGGCAUGAUUAUCAAUUUCACCAAAGACAAGUAUCUGGUUUCAUCAAAGUCUUAUGAGAAGACUAAUGUUUCUAACUUAGAGUUGUGGCAUGAGAAACUUAGCCACAAUCAUUACAAAGGGCUCCGAAGAUUGGUUUGAUAUGUUGCUGGAAUAGGCAACCCAAAACUAGGUGGUGUCAUUCCUAAAGUCCGUUAUGGAUGCUUGAAAGUUAGAGAGGAUCACAUGGAGAAUCAUCAAAGGUUGUCACAUAUCCAAAUUAUUGCAUCUCUCAAGUUACUACACAUAGAUCUCAUUGGACCUAUGUGAAUCGAGAGCAUUGGAGUAAACCGUUAUGUCCUAGUCUAUGUAGAGGACUUUUCAAGGUACACAUGGGUGAGAUUUUUUAGAGAAUUCUAACACAUCUAAAGAAUUCAGGAAACUAUGCAGAAGAUUUUGUCAAUUUUUAUGACGAGGAAAUGAUCAAACUAAGGCACCGCAAUAUAAUGGAGUUAUGGGACACAAGAACCGUACCAUAUAGGAGAUGGCAUGAGUGUUGCUUAACAACAAAAGAGUUACUCAUAAGUUUUAAGUUGAGGCAGUGAACAUUGCAACCUAUAUCUUUAACAAAGUUCUUACUAGGCGAAAAACUCACAUGACACUUUGUAAGAUGUGAAAUGGGAGGAAGCCAAAUGUCAAGUAUUUCCAUGUGUUUAGAAGUACCUUGAUAGGUGUCGAAUCCACCAAAAAUGAAAUCCUACCCCUAAACAGGAUAUAAAUUAGAAGUUUAAGGAGUAAGGUCGAUCCCACAAGGACUAAUUUAUAUGAACUUGUAGUUUGUUAUAACCAGGACGUAUCGUAAGCAGUUUUGUGCCCAUGAUUUAUGCUAACCUAUACGAAAUAGAAAGAAGGAUUAAAUAUGAAUGUAACUAAAUGUCAAAAAUUAAAUAAUAAUAAUGCAAUAGAAAUAAUCAAAUCAGAAUUAAAAUUGAAUAACCUAAUAAGAUGGAUUUUGACUCUGGCUUUGGAUUGAUCCCAAACAAUGGAUUUUUUCCUCCAAUUGAUAAGUCGGGUAUAGUGACCAAGGAACAACCUCAAAUACCAACCCUUUCGUAUGUAAAUUAACUGCGGGAACAACUCUAAGUUAACCCGUACCAGGUAAAUAACACUGAAAGCAACUUCCAUGAUUUCAUUCCUUGACAACCUCGCGAACUAGAGGGACUCAGCUCAAAUUGACAGCCUCAAUUGCAUGGGUCCACACGCCUACUACCUUUUCCAUCUUUGAUUUUCCAAGUUCUUUUGAAGCAAAAUCCAAGGUUUGUUUGAGCCACAGAGCAUCUUGAAAGAGAAGUUGCUAAGUUGAAAUUCUCUCCAAAAUGGCUCGAGGGAAAACAUGAAUCAAUAGCCCCAACUGAUCUAACUGAAGGAGAAGAAAAAGUUGAAUCUGACCUUGAAACUGUAGCAAUUGCUCCUAUAGUGACUAUUUCAGCAGGUCUUGUGAGCAACCUAGCAGGAUUCAAUCAAAGGAUGGUUAGCAUUUUACUGCUUCUAUUGACUCUCAAAAUUGAUUCAUCUCCAAACUUCGAACUGAAAUCCAAGUCAUUCAACAGAUUCGAGAUCAAGAAAUUGCUUUCCGCAAUGAUUUAUUAACUCAUUCCGAACAAUAAUGUUUGACAUAUUUUUAAAAAAAAGGGAAGUAAAGAGGAAGGAGAUGAUGGCUAAGAUGGUGGCAAGUUGAUUGCUCCUACUAAUGGGAGUUUAUUUUACUUUUGGUUAUUACAAGCUUCAUUUCAUUUUGGGUAUUUCUUUUGAAAUAUUUGUAAUGAUGAACUUUUCUAAUGGAUGGAUGGAUUUUAUUUUGGCGUACAAACUCUUAUCUUCAUCUUACUUAGAUAUAAUUUUAGUAUUUAGAUUGUUGAUACAAAUACUUAAAAGGCAUUAAUGGUUGAUUUACUUGAUUAUGUUUUAAGUUAAGUGUGACGGAUAAGGGGAUUGUACUAAGGGGAAGCAUUUUUUGUUACUGUUGAUAAGCUUCCUAAUUUGAAUUGGUUUUGUUCAAAAAAUUGUAGAAGCAAGUUUCAAAAGUGGCCAGCAAAGUGCCAACGGUAGUGGCCACUAUAGAUAGCAUUGCAAUAGACUCUAUUACUAGCCAUGUUUAGAGUUAGCUUGAAAACGAUGAUGAUAUUAUGAAAAUAUGAAAGUCCAUAUUAUAUUAGUUUUUAUUAUUUAUUGCAUUUUGCUAGUUUAGCUGGUGACACGUUCAAUAAAUAUAAUUUUAAAGGUAUUUUUGUUUUUUUAACUGCAAACUGUUUGGGCAAUAAAUUUAUUUCAAAAGUUGCUUUCAAAUGCUUUAAAAGUUACGGUGUAGUUUACACUAUUCUCAGGUUACAUGGCCUGAAUUUGUCUUUAAAAGAAAGGAAAGAACAAAAUACAAAAUGAAUAAAGAAAAAUCUUUCUGUUCUGUAUAAUCUAUCUACUCCCAUUUACCCGUAGGGUGGCGUUCUUCCGUUCAAUUUCAAUGGCAUUGAUAGAGGGCAGCUUCCACAAGAUGAGUUUAAUCAUCGCCAACUAAUCGUGAAUAACCAAUAUUAAUAAAUAAUCUCCAUUCUUCUCAACCGCCAUAACUGCUCCAUCAACCUGCUAUGUCGGGUGAAAUGGGAACGUACACCUGAGCUACACAAAGGGAUAUAUCUCCUUAGUAAGUUUCUACCAUGGGAGAUUGCCACUUUACCCCCAAAUAUAAGGCCAUCAUUACGUUUUCUCUAUGAAGAAGCCUUGGACACAUCCUUACUUGACCUAUUGUACUUCAUAUGGCUCUUGACUAGUUGCCCUGCUGCAAGUGCUGACAUGAGUGACAGCUCCCCGGCAAGGACAGCACCUGCUACAAUGGUUGCCAGCAUUCUAGAGUUUGCUCCUGGUGUCUCUUUGCUUGCACCCUUCACUCCAAGUAAGUUCAAACAGGCUGACUGAGAUGCAAGCUGUGUUCCACCACCAACGGUACCAACCUAAAAGAUACAGCAACAGAUAUAAUUAGGGGGAUUCAUAAAUACCCAGAUUCUGUUUUGGUAAUGAAAAUCCUUGUGAUGGAUAAUCAGACAGCAACAUAAUCAAUUACCUCGAUGGAAGGCAUUGUGACAGAGAUGUGGAGGUCCUUGCCCUCGUUAACAGCUUCCAUCAUAGUGAUGCAAUGAGAGCUCUCAACAUUUUGAGCCGGAUCUUGGCCCGUAGCUAUGUAGAUUGCAGUGACGAUGUUACUGGCGUGAGCAUUGAAUCCACCCAGAGCUCCAGCCAUAGCUGAUCCAGUAAGGUUCUUGAGCAUGUUAAGCUCAACGAGAGAUUCCACACUUGUCUUCAAGACCUUCCUAACCACAUCACCCUUAAUGAUGGCUUCGCAAACAACAGAUUUGCCUCGUCCUUCAAUCCAAUUUACAGCCGCUGGUUUUUUGUCGGAACAAAAGUUUCCUAUAUGGACAAAUUCAUAAAUUUCAGUAAUCCUAUAUAGAACAGUAAAAACAUAGAACACAAUUACAAGUCUAUGGAAAAGUGAAACUCACCAGAGAUGCCAAUGACAUCCAUGUCAGGGAAAUCAGUUUGAAGGAAAUCCAAAACAUUUUGGACUCCCUUGGAAACCAUGUUCAUCCCCAUAGCAUCACCUGUACUGCAAGUGAAUCUAAUAUACAGAUUCUUUCCAGCAAUUGCACAUUUGAUACCUUGGAGCCUGCCAAACCUACUUGAUCUGCAACCACCAAAAAGUCAAAAUUUUCAAUAUUAGCUUGAAUUUUAAAUCCUUCAAUAUGGAGUUCUAGAAAUAUCAACACAAACCUGUUGAAAACAACAGACAAGGUCUCGAAAUUAUCAGGGUCCUCCAAAUACAACUUCAAAUCAGCUGCCCUUUUCGCAGUACCGAACCUUACACAUGGAGCUCUUGUCAUACCAUCUUUCAAUAGAACACUUGUAGCUCCACCAGACAAAUGAAUAGCCUUACAGCCCCUAUUAGUGCUAGCCACCAAGCACCCUUCCGUGGUUGCCAUAGGAACCGAGUACUCUCUUCCAUUAACCAACAAAGGCCCGGAAAUUCCAACGGGAAUUUGCACGUAGCCAACCGGCAUCUCACAACACUGCCCUAAAAUCGACUCGUAAUCAAACCCAUCCAAGGGCAAUCCAGAUAACGACUUCCCUGUUAAUCUUUGCAACGCUUCCCGCCUGAUUGCGGCCGCCCUCUUGCAAUCACCCAAUUUCGAUUCCAAGGAAUACGAAGGGGUUGUACCAGCCACUACAGAUUUAAUUAUUUCUUCAUCUUCCUCCGUUAGUACCGUCACAGGCUUUUCAUCGAACACCUUCUGAACGGUCACGAUUGGUGCCGCAGGAGGCAGAGGUGGAAGCGAACAAUCGAGAGCUUGCCCGCAAGGGACCUUACGGGCAUCUUCCUUUGCAAGCAGAACUUCAUCAUCCUCUUCCUCGUCCUCGGCAAUCCAAACGUCAGGCGAUGGUUGGAAAACCAAAGAUUGAACGAAGUCAAUCCCAAAGAAACCCAAAAGGUAAAUAAAGGACGCUAAAAAUGAGAGAAUGGCGAUGAUCUCGGAAAAGGUGACGACAUGGAGAGGUGUGGAGGUACGGAUCUUCUCACGCCAACGGGAAAGAAGAAAAUAAACCACCGAGAAGAAGAGGGUGAAGAACAGGGCAUUCGUUAGGUGCAAGGGAAGCGGCAAUGCGUCGGAGGCUUUACCGUGAUCUUCCUCUAAAGGAAUCUUCUUCGAUGGCUUGAGAGAUUGAACAGGUUUAGUCGAAUACAGCCGAGGAGCCUCCAUAUUAGGUGUCGACGGCGGCAGAAGCCCGGCAGUGGAGAAGAAGAAUAGAAGAGGAAUGGAAGUGAGAGAGGAUUUCAGUUAGUUUUACGAUUAUGGGGGAAGGUGGAGUUUGAGAUGCUGGAGUUUAGGGAGGGAAGGGGAGUAUUUAUAGGAUAGAGAGUAAAGUGUAGAGAGAGCGUGAGGAAAAAGGCGCGUGAAUUGAAGUGUUUGGCACUUGUUAGUGCGGAGCUUUACCAAGUGAAGAGUCAAUGGAAGAAUUUCAAGGGAUGUGUUUGGAAGCGUGCGUGCGUGCGUGCAGUGCAUGUGCAUGGUGGGGCAUUGCAUAAUCCUUUCAUUUGUUCUUUUCUCCUGCCACAUUUGGAGAAAAUGCUGAUUUUAAAAAAAUAUUCAGGAAAAUAUUUUUUUUCCAAUAUUUAAAAAAAUAAGUUGAUUUUGAAAAAAAUAAUAAAGCAUAUUUUGCAGAAAUUGUUUUUUUGCUGAAAAAGCUCGUAGGAUUAGUUUCUACUUUUUUAAUACAUUAGCUCAUUUGGUUAGAUGAUUAAAUGUUAAUUAUUUUGUCUUUUAAGUCUCGAGUUUGAUUCUUCUCUUACUCACAUUUGUAUUCUUAUUUCAAGUCGUUUCAAGCUUUGCUUUUAUUUUUAAUUAUGGUUUUUAACACAUUAACUCCUUUUGUUAGAUUGUUAAAUAAUAGUGAUUUUUUUUGUGAAAGAAAGGAAACAAUACAAGCUAAAUCCUCAAAGGACGGUCCACAAACAAUCUUAAGCCUAGACUUCUAAUGCAAACAAUCUUGGCUAGGCUAUCCGCAAUUAGAUUAUUUCCCUUGGGAACAUGCUGAAUUUUCCACUGCUCUAGCUUUUUAAGCGUCUGAUGAAUUCUCCUAAUAAUGGUAGAAUUGGAGAUACCCGUAUCAUCUUCCAUGAUAUCUUUAAUAGCUUCAAUACUAUCAGUUUGAAUAAGGACAUUUUGGAAACACCUAUCUGCCAUAAGAUUCAGCCCAUCCAAAAACCCCCAGAGCUCUGCCUCCAACACUGAACAAUUACCCAAAUAUCUCGCGAACCCUAUAAUUCACUCUCCCUUGUAAUCUCUCACGCAACCUUCCGCAGCUGCAAAGCCCUCGUUAAUCCUAACUGAACCAUCAGUGUUCAAAUAAACCCAACUGUAGGAGAUAUGGCAAUUAGGUAGAGUUCUUUGGGCUUCAAACUUUGAGAUCGAGGAAACAGAGGAAUACUAUUUAACCCAACUAAACUAGAUUUUAAUAAUUUCCUCAACACUCCACGAAAUUCUUUGGAAAACAAAUAUGUUGCGACUCUUCCAAAUACGCCACGUAAUAAUUCCAAAAAGGUAGGACCAAUCGAUUUCCCCUGUCGAAGAAGUCAACUGGUUCUGCAAAUUAGUCGCCGUCCAAUCAAAUAAAGAGCCUGAGUAAAAACUAGAAAAAGCUUGUUGAGGAAUGAUUUUAUCCCAAACUCCUUUGGCUGCAGGAUAAUCUCGGAGUAUAUGCAUCACAUCCUCCAAAACAUGACUACAAAUACUGCAAGUGUUGUUACUCCCACAACCUCGUCUUACUCUUUCAACAUUUGUAAGCAGCUUUUGCUUUAAGACAAGCCAAAUAAAGAAGCGGAUCCGAUAAGGGCCUUUAAAUUUCCAAGGUAUCCUCCAAAACGCUUCCUUGGGAUUCAAAGUGUCUUCACAAUGGGAUUCAAAGUGUCUUCACAAACCUUCCUAUAUGCACUCUUGAGAGAGAGAAGGUGUCAGUCGAGGUGGCUCCCCAAAUAAGUCCUAGCUUCGAUUUCUCUUUUAAGCAUAUUUGUAUUUUUUUUUCACAUUGUUUCAAAUUUUUCUUAAUUCAUCUUUUUAAUUAAUAAUUCUUUUAUUUAUAAAAUUAAAUAAUUAUUUUAAAUUAUCUAAUAAAAAAUAUAUUCUGAUAAAAAUGAUAUUUUUCAUUAUGUUAAAUAUAAUUUAUUUUUUAAAACAUCAACUUUUUGUUAUAUUUUUCUUUAUGUAAAAUAUAUAGGUUCUCCAUGUGGAUAUGGUGAUUUCUAAUAUUAUAAAAUCAAAUAAUUAUUUCAAAUAUCAUUAUUAUUUUUAUACGUAAAAUAUUUUAAAUAUCAUUAUUUUUUCAUGUACAUUGUAGGUAUGAUAUUUCAAAUAUUUUUAUACAUGAAAUAUUUCAAUUAAUUAUUUGAAAUUACAUUAUGUUUAUAUGUGAAAUAUUUCAAUUAAUCAUUUCAAAUUACAUUAUGUUUAUAUGUGAAAUAUUUCAAUUAAUUAUUUCAAAUUACAUUAUGUUUAUAUGUUAAAUAUUUCAAAAAGACGUACAAAAAUAUAUAAUACUAAAAUUUAAUACGUUCAUGAUAUGGAUUGAAAAUAAAAUUACACAUAAUAUUUAUAUUUAUUAAAGAUAAUGAUAUUUGAAAAUGAUUAUUUUAUUUUUAAAUAAAAUAAUUAUUAAUUAAAAAGAUAAAAAAAACUUGAAAACAAUAUAUUUAUUAAUUAAAAAAUUUAAAAGAAAACUUGAAACAACAUGAAAUAAAAAAAAGUACAAAUUUGCUUAGAAUAGGAAUCAAACCUAGGACUCAAUGAUAAAAUCACUAUUAUUUAACCAUAUAACCAAAGAAAUUAAUGUGAGUAGGAGAAGAAUCUAACCCGAGACUCAAGGACAAAACCAUUAAUAUUUAACUAUCUGACUAAAGGAAUUGAUAUAUUAAAAGAGUUAGAAAACACGCACUAUAAAAUGCAUUAUUUUAUUUGUCUCUCCAAAUUUAAAACCUUCUAUCAGUCAGCUGCUAUUUUGAUGUUUUCUGUCACUUAUUUAGCAUUAUUCUGCCUUUUACUUAUUCCUAAUUUUGGGUUGUUUUUCAUUAAUUAAUUAAUUAAUUAGAGAUCAUAUUAUGAAUGUAUUUAAUAUUUAUGGAAGUAAUGUUAAAAAGAAAUCUGGAGGUUUUUCUUUUUGCUCAUGAUUAAUUGGAUAAGUUUACAUUUUUACAAAAAAAAAAUAUUAAGACAAAGUCAGAGUGAAAAAAUAAUUAAGCAAGAAAAAUUCAGAAAAAUAAAUUGAUUCUUCAAUUAAAAAAAUGUAAAGCUUUAUUUGUUUUAUUAUUGAAAAAAAAAGGUCAUUCCCAAUUACUAUCAUUAAUAGUCAAAUUAUUAUUAUUUUUUUUGCAUGUUUAUUUCAUGUUAUAUUUUAACAAAAUAAAAGAAAUAUAUACUUUUUUUUAUAAAGAUUUAUUAAAUUACAGUCCAAAUUUGACAUUUAUAAUAUUAAAUAAAAUCUAAUCCACAUUUGACUCCUUAAUUAUCACGUUUCUUCCUUCCUUAAUUUUCAGUCAGUGAAUCACAUUAAAUUCAAAAUAGGAUGCAUAAUUAUUUAUUAUAUAUACAAGUGAUUGCAUAUAAUAUUAGUUCAUGCAGUCACCAGUAGUUGAAUAUUAACAUUUACAACUAUUUCCCGAGAAAAUGUAUGUGUUUUGUAUUAUAUAUAUAAGUUGGUAAUGCUGAUUGAGAAAAGACUUUUAAGAGGCUUUAAUAUCAUUGAGUUAUUAAGGUUAAGCCACUUGCUCGACUUAGUUUGUGUUUACUACAUGUAUUGUGUGUUUGGCUGUUGCAGAGUAUCCUCAGUGGAGGAGAAAAAUCAUCUGCUAUUUUUUAAAAUUCAUAUUACUAUUUUACUAUUUUACCUUUUUAAAGUAGAUCAUUUUUAUUUUUUUUAGUGUUUAAUGUACCUAGACGAUAAGAUUGAAGUAAUUUCUUUUUCCAAAAUAAUAAGCAUGCAUGAGAAUUGUUCAUCGCCAUGUGCUAAAGACUUGGACUGUUUGUCAAAGUUCUCUUCAAAGAAAUCAUAUAACUCACAAUGAAAGUUUAUAUAUAUAUAUAUAUAUAUAAUAUAAGNNNNNNNNNNNNNNNNNNNNNNNNNNNNNNNNNNNNNNNNNNNNNNNNNNNNNNNNNNNNNNNNNNNNNNNNNNNNNNNNNNNNNNNNNNNNNNNNNNNNAAAUUGGUAUCUCGUUAAACGCGCGUUGUCUUGCUUUUCAAAAAUACAAGUUCAAUUUAAUAGUUAAUCGCGAUCCGAUCAAAAUACAAAUUUUUUUUAAACACGAAGAUUUUUGAAACAAUUUUUUGAAAAUACGAUUUUUUUUAAAAACACGAGAAUUUUAGAGACACGAAAAUUCUUAAAAACACGAAUAUUUUUGAAAACACGACAAAUUUUUGAAAACAAUAUUUUUUUGAAACGCGAAAAUUUUUGAAACACGAGAAUUUUUUAGAAAACAGGAAAAAAAUAAUUUUUUUUGAUCAUCGGAAUUUUUGAGAACACGAAAAUUUUUGAAACACCGGGAUUUUUGAAAACACGAGGAUUUUUGAAACACGAAAAUUUUAAAAACACGAAAAUUUUUAAACAGGGGAAUUUUUUCGAAAACACGAAAUUUUUUGAAUAUUUACAAUUUUUAAAAGGACGUAUCGUAUUUAACAUAAACCGGUGAUAUUCACCCAACAUAGCGAUGAAAUCAUCGAUUUAAUGUUAAAUCGAUUCGUUGCCUUAUUUAUUAAAAUUAAAUUAAAUUAAAUUAAAAACAUAAAUACAAAAAAUAUAAAAGUGCAUAAAAAUACCAAUAAUAUUAAAACGAAAUGACAUAAAAAUACAUGCAUUAAAUUAAAAAUGAAAUAAAUAAAAUUACCGAAAAUGUCUGAAAUACGAGCUUCGCCGAACGGGUUACACAAAUUAAAACCCGUUUUUUCUUUUUUUCUUCUUUUAUCUUCCUUUUUCCUCUCUUUUUCUUUUUUUUUCUGGACUGGGCUGGCCUGUUGGGCUGCUGCUAGGCCUGGGGGCUGCUGCUGCACUGGGCCUGGGGGCCUGCUGCUGCGCUGGGCCUGCAUUUGGGCUGCUUCUUUCUUUUUCUUUUUUUCUGCUUCUUUCUUUCUUUCUUUUUUCUGCUGCUUCUUUUUCUGUUUUGGUUUUUUUUUUUGGGCUGGCCUGCUACUGCUGUUGGGUUGUUGGGUGCUGUGGGUCGGGUCAAUUUUGCGGGUCGGGUCGGCCCGAUUUAAAAUAAUUUUUUUCUUUUUUUCUUUUUUUCUUCUUUCUUCUUCCUCUUUUUUUCUUCUUUCUUUCUUCUUCUUUCUUUCUCUUUUUCUUCCUUUCUUUCUUCCCCGAUCAGGCCCCCCUUCGGGUUGCUUUCGUCGACGGCGACCUACUUCCCACCGACGGCCGACGGUGGCGCUCACGGUGGUCUUCCCUUUCCCCUUUUUUCUCUUUUUCUUUCUUUUUUUUUUCUUUUUGCUUGCUUUGCUUUUUUUUCUUUUUUUCUUGCCUCUUGGUUGUCUUGCUAGGUAUCGGGGCGGCGCGAGUGCGGUGGCGGAUGCGGUGGCGCGGACACGACGGCGGUGGUGCCCCUUUUUGCUGUUGUUUUUGCUCUCCUUUUUUUUUUGCUCAAAAUUUGUUUUUUUUUUUCCUUUGCUUCCUUGCUUCCCCCUUUUUCUUCCUUGCUUUGGGGGUUUUAAAACCCAUUUUAUUUUGAUGUUCUCUUCUUUUUUUGCAGGUUGCAGGUGGGCUAGGGAGGGCUUAGGUCGGCCGCCGCGCGUUGCAGGUGCAACUUGUGUCAGUGGCAGCCAGAGGGACCAAAAUGUAGUGGCAGCAAAACUUUUGGGGCCGAAACAUAAUUUUGAGAAAGUUCAAGGGUCCAAAUGUAAUUUUAAGAAAGUUUAAGGGUCAAAAUGUAAUUUAGAAAAGUUUAGGGGUUGAACUGUAAUUUUGAGAAAGUUUAGGGGUUAAAAUGCAAUUUUAAAAAAGUUUAGGGGUCAAAAUGCAAAAAAAUUAAAAAAUUUAAUUUUAAUUUUUUUUAACGAAAGUUAUUCCCGGACAAAAUUCAGUGAUUACAGCUGCCCCUCUUUGCUCAUCGCUGUGAAACAGGGAUAGAGCAAAGACUUAAAAGCACUGAAUUUUGUUCGAUCAUCCAAAAUUUUUCUUUUUAUUUGAAAAGCAGAAAUCGAGAAUAGCUCAGCGUGAAACCCGAGGCCCAACUCACCUCUAGCAAUAUGAGUUGAUUUUUUUGAAAAGCAAGAAUUGAAAAAUACCUCGACGUGACUCGAGGCUCAACUCACCUCUCGCAAUAUGAGUUGAUUUUGGAAAAAUAGAAAUUGAAAAACACCUCGACGUGACUCGAGGCUCAACUCACCUCUGGCAAUAUAAGUUGAUUUUUGAAAAACAGAAAUUUAAAAUACCUCAGCGAGAGACCCGAGGCUCAACUCACCUCUCGUAAUAUGAGUUGAUUUUUUGAAAAAAUAGAAAUUAAAAAAAAUACCUCAGCGUGACUCGAGGCUCAACUCACCUCUGUAUUAUGAGUUGAUUUUUUGAAAAAAGCAGAAAUUAAAAAAAUACCUCAGCGUGACCCGAGGCUCAACUCACCUCUGUAUUAUGAGUUGAUUUUUUGAAAAAGCAGAAAUUUAAAAAAUACCUCAGCGUGACCCGAGGCUCAACUCACCUCUGUAUUAUGAGUUGAUUUUUUGAAAAAAGCAGAAAUUAAAAAAAAUACCUCAGCGUGACCCAAGGCUCAACUCACCUCUGUAUUAUGAGUUGAUUUUUUGAAAAAAGCAGAAAUUUAAAAAAUAACUCAGCGUAACCCGAGGCUCAACUCACCUUUGUAUUAUGAGUUGAUUUUUUGAAAAAAGCAGAAAUUAAAAAAAAUACCUCAGCGUGACCCGAGGCUCAACUCACCUCUGUAUUAUGAGUUGAUUUUUUGAAAAAAAAAUAGAAUUUUAAAAAAUAUUUCUUGAAAGAAACAGGGUUUCAAAAAACAUCUGGUAAAGCUAAAAGCCUUCUUCUUCAUUGAUUCUGUGCAGUUUUCUCCCAGUAUUCCUUGCUCUACUGGUAUACCUGUAUAUGUUAUUUAUGAUGUUAUUAUGAUAUGCACAUGUUUGUCCUAAAUGCUUUUGUGUCUACAUGAUCAUGCAAUGCACCCUGGGCUAUUUGUCACGUGCCCCACUUUUGAUUUUUGUGAGGGUCCGCAUUUAUUUCCUCAAUUCUUGACUUUUCUCUCCAGUUUUGUACUCAUCCUCAAGUUUGGUGAGUAACCCACAUUUCUUCGUAUAUCACCCUCUUGCCCCCUGUUGAACUUUUUCUUGCUUUAGGGUCCUUGUAUUUAUCAAGUUCUCAUCCAGGUAAUGCUCAACAUUCCCUUUGUUUAGAGUAUGUCAUCUUACUAUUUAUCAUUUAAAUGAAUCAAACACGAGAUGCAUACAAAAGACAAAGUAGGCAUGAAAGAAAUACCUCACAUUCAUUUUUUUAAAAGCAACAAUCGAAGGAAAUUGAUAAGGAAAGUUUAACAAAUAAAUUGUCAUAAAGAAAAGAAAGCGAGUUCAAUGGCCAGAAAUGCUCUAGAUAUCCAAUGCAUGAACUUUCCAAGUUUCUUCAUCCUGGAUCUUUUCGAGCACGGCUUCUUGUGUAGAAGAUUUUGAGCUUCUGAGAAUGCUUCAAAUAUUGUAACCUCGCCAUUCGACUCUCCGUUCAAGCCAAUUGGCUUCUUCAAGCCCGAGCCCACUUUAUUAGGACGCCCUUUUGGGUUUUCAUCCUAAUCCUUUUGUUUAUCAAGACGCCCUUUUCGGGUUUUCAUCUUGAUUUUUCUUUUUUUGUUUUGUUUUUGUUUUGUUCCUUUGUUUUGUUAUUUUUUUGUUUUUUUUUUGUCUCUCUUUUUUUUAGGCAUAAUAUUUCUUCACAGAAUCUGAGUUCACUGGAUUAGGUAAUUCUUUCCCGUCCAUCUCAGUGAAAAUCAGAGCCCCUCCUGAGAAUGCCCUUUUUACAACGUAUGGCCCUUCCCAAUUUGGUGACCAUUUUCCUCGAAAGUCCUUCUGAAUCGAGAGAAUCUUUCUCAGUAUGAGCUCUCAUUCGCAAAAUUCUCUUGGCCGCACCUUUUUAUCAUGGGCCGUAAUCAUUCUCUUCUGGUACAUAUGUCCAUGACAAAUUGCCUUCAAGCGUUUCCCUUUAAUAAGGUUUAGCUGAUCAUAUCGAGCUCGAACCCACUCUGAUUCCUCUAACCUUGUCUCCAUCAAGACGCGCAGGGAUGGGAUCUCUACUUCGAUAGGCAAAACGGCUUUCAUUCCAUAGACCAGAGAAAAAGGAGUUGCCCCUGUAGACAUCCGUACAGAGGUGCGAUAUACGUACAAAGCGAAUGGUAGCUUCUCGUGCCAGUCUUUAUAUGUCUCAGUCAUCUUCCCGAGAAUCCUCUUAAUGUUCUUAUUAGCCGUUUUUACUGCUUCGUUCAUCUUUGGGCGAUAGGGCGAAGAAUUAUGAUGCUUUAUCUGAAAUUGCUCACAUACUUCUUUCAUCAUCUUGUUGUUCAAAUUUAAAGCAUUAUCUGAAAUGAUUCUUUCAGGCAGACCAUAUCGACAUAUGAUCUCAUUUUUUAAGAACCUACAGACCGCAGCCUUUGUCACAUUAGCAAAUGAAGUGGCUUCUACCCAUUUUGUGAUGUAGUCUAUAACCACAAAGAUGAAUCGAUGUCCAUUGGAAGCUUUCGGGGAAAUUGGCCAUAUAACAUCCAUGCCCCACAUAGAAAAAGGCCACGGAGAAGUAAUGACAUGAAGGGGCGAUGGAGCUGCAUGAAUUUUAUCACCAUAAAUUUGACAUUUGUGGCACUUUCGUGUUUAGCCAAUGCAAUCGCUUUCCAUCGUCAGUCAGUAAUAACCAAGUCUCAUAAUCUGCCUGGCCAUAGUGAAACCACUGGCAUGCAUUCCAAAAAUUUCUUCAUGAACCUCUUCAAGUAUCUUUCUAGCUUCAACAGCGUCCACGCACCUAAUGAGCACUUGAUCUUUUCCUUUUUUGUAUAGAAUAUCCCCAUCAAGAAUAAAUCCAACCGUUAUUAUUCUGAUUGUUCUGUUGUCAUUCUCGUUUGCCUGCUCGGGGUACCUUUGAUUCUUGAUAUACUCCAAGAUAUCAUGGAACCAUGGUCGUCCAUCUGACUCCUCCUCAAUACUAAAACAGUGUUCGAGGGUCUCAUAUAUACUCAUUUGGAUGGGCAUUAUCUCAGUUUCUCUGUUUGCUUUGAACAUCGAAGCCAAGGUGGCUAGGGCAUCAGCCAAUUGGUUCUCCUCUCGUGGAAAGUAGUUAAAAGUCACUUCUUUGAAUUCUUUGACCAAUUUCGCAACAAGAUCGUGGUACUUGACUAAUUUUGGAUCUCUCACUUCCCAAUCCCCACGAAUUUGAUAAAUGACUAAUGCUGAGUCCCCGUGCACUUCUAAGAUUUUGAUUUUCCUCUCGAUAGCUGCACGAAGCCCUAUGAUGCAAGCUUCAUAUUCCGCUAUAUUAUUGGUACAGAAGAAGUUCAAUCUGGCAGUGAGCGGGUAAUGAUCUCCCUCCGGCGAUACUAAGACUGCUCCAAUCCCAUGCCCCAAUACAUUUGAUGCACCAUCAAAGCUCAUUUUCCAUGAUUUCUCUCUUGAUGACUCACCCUCUUUUUCUGAAAUGCAAAUCAAGUCUUCAUCUGGGAAAUCAAAUCUCAAAGGCUCGUAUUCUUCCGCUGUUCGACUUGCCAAGAAGUCAGCUAUCGCACUUCCCUUUAUCGAUUUUUGGCUCAUAUACACGAUGUCAUACUCAGUCAGUAAGAUCUGCCAUCGUGCUAUUCUUCCUGAGAGUGCAGGUGACUCCAUCAUGUACUUUAUUGGAUCCAGUUUUGAAAUUAACCACGUCGUAUGAUAUAACAUGUAUUGUCUGAGCCUUCGAACCGUUCAAAUCAAUGCGCGACAAAACUUCUCAAUUGAAGGGUACUUUACCUCAUAUUCUGUGAACAUUUUGUUGAGGUAGUAAAUCACUUUUUCUCUUUUCCCCGACUCAUCAUGUUGUCCCAGUACGCAACCCAUUGAAUUCUCAAACACGGUCUGGUACAAUAUUAAGGGUUUUCCAGGGGUUGGCGGUACUAGUACCGGAGGAUUAGAUAGAUACUGUUUUAUCUUGUCGAAAGCCACUUGACAUUCCUCGUUCCAUUCUCCCGGAUUAUGUUUUUGAAGAAGUCAAAAAAUUGGAUCACACUGAUUGGUAAGUUGGGCAACGAAUCGAGCAAUGUAAUUCAACCUUCCUAAAAAUCCUCUGACUUCCUUUUGUGUACGCGGAGGUGGCAGUUCUUGUAUAGCUUUCAUAUUAUCUUGAUCAACUUCGAUACCUCUCUCACUGACAAUAAAACCUGACAGUUUUCCCGAGGUAGCCCCAAACGUACAUUUGGCUGGGUUAAGUUUCAACUGGAACUUUAUUAACCUUUCGAACAGCUUCUUGAGAUUCCCAACAUGCUCUUUUUCUCCCCGGGACUUGACAAUCAUAUCAUCGACGUAAACUUCUAUUUCUUUGUGCAUCAUAUCAUGAAAUAACGUCACCAUGGCUCUCUGAUAUGUUGCCCCAUCAUUCUUUAAUCCGAACGGCAUUACCUUGCAGCAAAAGGUCCCCCACAAUGUUAUGAAUGUAGUUUUCUCCAUGUCCUCGGGAGCCAUCUUUAUCUGAUUAUAACCUGAGAAGCCAUCCAUGAAAGAAAACAGAGAAUGUUUUGCCGUAUUAUCCACCAAAGUGUCGAUGUGUGGUAAAUGAAAGUUAUCCUUAGGGCUUGCUUGAUUCAGAUCACGAUAAUCCACGCACAUUCGCAACUUGCCAUCUUUCUUCGGCACUGGGACUAUAUUAGCUACCCAUUUUGGAUAUUUAGAGACUUGUAGGAAGCCAGCAUCAAUUUGUUUCUUGACUUCUUCUUUUAUCUUUAACAGCAUUUCGGGUCUCAUCCUUCUUAAUUUCUGCCGAACGGGCUUGCAUUCUGGUUUCAGUGGGAGCUUAUGAACCACUACAUCCUCAUUCAACCCUGGCAUGUCCUGAUACGACCAGGCGAAUACAUCUUUGUACUCACGGAGCAAGGCGAUCAAAUUCUGUUUGGUGUUAUCUGAAAUGGAAAUAUCAAUAUUCACUUCUUGUUUCUUUUCUUCACUUCCCAAGUUCACUGUCUCAACAGAUUCUUGAUGGGGUAGAAUCUGUUUCUUUUCUUGUUCAACCAUUCUCAAUAAGUCAGGAGGCAAGACACAAUUUUUAGCAUCUUCCUCGGCUUCAAAUUCUUCUAAACAAACAGCCUUCUCAAAAUCGAUUUCAGGACUUGUAACGGGAUUGUUCAUGCCAUGGAUAUCUGAGCACUUGAAAGGCGGAUAGAAAAGACUGCUAUAAGAGAGCAUCAAAGUAUUGGAAUCAACAAACACAAUGUUAUGGAAUGAGAUAUAUGGAGAGAAAGGAUAUGAAGCGAUGAGGGUAAUUAUGAAACUGAUAGAAAUAAAAAGAUCAUGACAAAAUGCAUCUUCAUUAAUGUUCAUUGAAAUGAUAAAGAGCAAACACAAGCUCUUACAAAAGGAAUCCCACUAUUUAGGGGCACACAAAAUAAAUGGAGAAGUAACAUUGGGCAUUACUCUGGAGAGGACUUAGAAACUACAAGAAGGUCCACAGCAGUCCAAUUGUUCAAAACAUAUCUUGGAAGACAGGGGUGUAUCAUUGAAACAUCCUCAAUUGUAUCACUCUCAUUGAAUUCAACAUUCAUAGCCCUAGCCCUUAAAUGUGUUCUAUAAGAAUGACGUGAUUCCAGACUUGUAGUAUCACAACUGUGGAUUUUGCGGUUCUGGCCUUAGUGAAUGAUUAGGGUGAUAUGUACAUGCAAUGAAUGAAUGAAUGAAUGACCAAUGGAUGCUAGUCAUGCGUAAAUAUGCAAAAAAAAUGGUGUUGAUUUCAAGAUAGCCCCAUAUUUUGGCAUUUCAUUUAUCAAAAGAGUCAAUUACAAAAUAUUUUGCCAACGAAGAUGACCCUAGUUCUUGAGUUUCACUGUUUCCAAAUCCUAGUCAAAUCUUCAGGGUUAUUCUGACGAGCAUUCGAAGUCGUCUUCUCGGAAAGAUCAGAGAUAUAUCUUUCCUUUAAAUUGUCCCUUUUACUUUCUCGGCCCUCAAAGACCAGUCUCUGACUACGACAUUUUUCUUGAUUACCUGUGUAAUUUGACUCCUUCAUCAGAAACCCGUUUUUGGCAACCAAUCUCUAAUCAACACCUUCCUAAUGAGAUAUCUACGAUGCAUGAUGAAAAAUAAAAUGAAGAACAAAUAACAUUGGUUAGAGAUCACAACAGAUAUAAACAGAAGGAAAAUAAAAAAUAAAUACUAUGGAAAAUUUAACAAAUUAAGCUAGUCAAUCAGCAAUUUGGUGGAACAGACCCACAUUUUUUUUUGCCCCAACAUGCUUUACAAAAACCUACCCCACAUACCAUCAGACAAUCUACCCGACCCAAUUUAUUAAAUAGACCCAAUUCAUUUGCAAAUAAGUGUAAAUGUAAAAGAAAUAAAAGGUAAGAGGCGUUUCUCCCGUGUACUUAUUUUGGUAACUAUCAAACGGACAGAGGUUCGGCAUGGCUCUAAUUGGGUGGCUCGUACGGUUCNNNNNNNNNNNNNNNNNNNNNNNNNNNNNNNNNNNNNNNNNNNNNNNNNNNNNNNNNNNNNNNNNNNNNNNNNNNNNNNNNNNNNNNNNNNNNNNNNNNNUCUUCUAAAGAAAUACAUAUAACUACACAAUAGAAGUUAAUAUAUAUAUAUAUAUAUAUAUAUAAGCAUAGUCAGGCCAACCAAUGUAGAAAAAAACUAACAUGAUAUCAUCUUUUCUUAUUGCCCAGUAUUUAUUUAGCAAAUAUUGACUGUAACAUUGUCAUGAUUAUUUUUGGACAAGAACAAGGUCAUUUCCACACAGGUAGAAGUGCAGUCCAUGCUCAUAGCUUACAGAAAAAAAAAAUAUUUCAGUAAAGAUUAUGUAGCGACCUAAAAAUUUGGGGUGAGCGCUAAUCGAAAUGAUUGUUGAAAAUUUGAAGACGGUGUUUCGAUUUUAUUUGAAAAAGGAGUCGCCACCGAUCUUUUUUCCUAGGUGUGAUCGGACACCUAAUAAAUUCUCUUUUAGAAGAAGAAUUUAUUUUUUUAAUUUUUCUAAAAAAGAGGUAAUUUUAGGUCUACGUGAAAAUCCAGAGAAAAUUAGGGUUCGGGAGUCGGUUACACGCGAGGAAGGUAUUAGCACCCUCGCGACGCCCAAAAUUGGUAUCUCGUUAAACGCGCGUUGUCUUGCUUUUCAAAAAUACAAGUUCAAUUUAAUAGUUAAUCGCGAUCCGAUCAAAAUACAAAUUUUUUUUAAACACGAAGAUUUUUGAAACAAUUUUUUGAAAAUACGAUUUUUUUAAAACACGAGAAUUUUAGAGACACGAAAAUUCUUAAAAACACGAAUAUUUUUGAAAACACGACAAAUUUUUGAAAACAAUAUUUUUUUUGAAAACGUCGAAAAAUUUUUUGAAAACACGUAGAACUUUUUUUAGAAAAACUAGGUAAAAAAAACUAAAUUUUUUUUUAGAAUUCAAUUUUUGAGNNNNNNNNNNNNNNNNNNNNNNNNNNNNNNNNNNNNNNNNNNNNNNNNNNNNNNNNNNNNNNNNNNNNNNNNNNNNNNNNNNNNNNNNNNNNNNNNNNNNNNNNNNNNNNNNNNNNUUUGAAUAUUUACAAUUUUUAAAAGGACGUAUCGUAUUUAACAUAAACCGGUGAUAUUCACCCAAUAUAGCGAUGAAAUCAUCGAUUUAAUGUUAAAUCGAUUCGUUGCCUUAUUUAUUAAAAUUAAAUUAAAUUAAAUUAAAAACAUAAAUACAAAAAAUAUAAAAGUGCAUAAAAAUACCAAUAAUAUUAAAACGAAAUGACAUAAAAAUACAUGCAUUAAAUUAAAAAUGAAAUAAAUAAAAUUACCGAAAAUGUCUGAAAUACGAGCUUCGCCGAACGGGUUACACAAAUUAAAACCCGUUUUUUCUUUUUUUCUUCUUUUAUCUUCUUUUUUCCUCUCUUUUUCUUUUUUUUUUCUUGACUGGGCUGGCCUGUUGGGCUGCUGCUAGGCCUGGGGGCUGCUGCUGCACUGGGCCUGGGGGCCUGCUGGGCCUGCUGCUGCGCUGGGCCUGCAUUUGGGCUGCUUCUUUCUUCUUCUUUUUUCUGCUUCUUUCUUUCUUUCUUUUUUCUGCUGCUUCUUUUUCUGUUUUGGUUUUUUUUUUUUGGGGCUGGCCUGCUACUGCUGUUGGGUUGUUGGGUGCUGUGGGUCGAGUCAAUUUUGCGGGUCGGGUCGGCCCGAUUUAAAAUAAUUUUUUUUUUCUUUUUUUCUUCUUUCUUCUUCCUCUUUUCUUCUUUCUUUCUUCUUCUUUCUUUCUCUUUUUCUUCCUUUCUUUCUUCCCCGAUCAGGCCCCCCUUCGGGUUGCUUUCGUCGACGGCGACCUACUUCCCACCGACGGCCGACGGUGGCGCUCACGGUGGUCUUCCCUUUCCCCUUUUUUCUCUUUUUCUUUCUUUUUUUUUUCUUUUUGCUUGCUUUGCUUUUUUUUCUUUUUUUCUUGCCUCUUGGUUGUCUUGCUAGGUAUCGGGGCGGCGCGAGUGCGGUGGCGGAUGCGGUGGCGCGGGCACGACGGCGGUGGUGCCCCUUUUUGCUGUUGUUUUUGCUCUCCUUUUUUUUUGCUCAAAAUUUGUUUUUUUUUUUUUUCCUUUGCUUCCUUGCUUCCCCCCUUUUCUUCCUUGCUUUGGGGGUUUUAAAACCCAUUUUAUUUUGAUGUUCUCUUCUUUUUUUGCAGGUUGCAGGUGGGCUAGGGAGGGCUUAGGUCGGCCGCCGCGCGUUGCAGGUGCAACUUGUGUCAGUGGCAGCCAGAGGGACCAAAAUGUAGUGGCAGCAAAACUUUUGGGGCCGAAACGUAAUUUUGAGAAAGUUCAAGGGUCCAAAUGUAAUGUUAAGAAAGUUUAGGGGUCAAAAUGUAAUUUAGAAAAGUUUAGGGGUUGAACUGUAAUUUUGAGAAAUUUUAGGGGUUAAAAUACAAUUUUAGAAAAGUUUAGGGGUCAAAAUGCAAAAAAAAUUAAAAAAUUUUUAAUUUUAAUUUUUUUUUAACGAAAGUUAUUCCCGGAUAAAAUUCAGUGAUUACAGAUUAAAUAGUUGUAUAUGAUAUUGAUAUCAUAGAUAGAUGAAUCGAUUUAAUUUAAGUCGGUUCAACUUAUAAAUACCUUAAUUUUAUAUAAUAUAUAUGUGUAUUUAUAUUAUUAUUUAAGUUCUUGAUUGGGUUAGCGUCACUCUCAACCGGGUCACCAAAUUUACUAGGAAAAUUAUUGAAAUGUUCUUUCGUAAUUAAAAUAAGUUGUAUUAUUCGAAGGUAUUUUUGCCUUUUUAUUUUUAAAAAGUAAAUAAAAAUAUGUGUAUGGUGGUAUUUGAAUCCAAACUAAUUGGGUUAGAAAAAUAUUUAAUUUAUCACUCAACUAAAACCUUUUAUUUUGAUAUUUUUAUAUAUUUUUUAUUUUAUUAUACACACUUUAUUUUAAUACCGUACAUAUUUCAUGUGUUAUUAUGCUUAAUUAGUUUCAAAUCAUGUGUUUCAUUAUUUAUUAUUUGUUAUUUUUAAACACAUAUUUGUACUCUAAUAUUUAUAAAAUAACAUAAUCCUCGAAAAGGAAACAUGCACUUCUAGGUAAGUUAAGUUUUUACCAAAUGACACAUGUUGAUAAUUGACACUUUAGGUGGUUAUUGAUGGCCUUGUAAAGUCUUUCGAUCUUAACAUUAUACAAACCAAAACCUUAGUAUUGCACAAACAAUUAUUUUAGUAUCUUUAGAAUAAUAUGAUUAUCAUAAGUUUAAAAAUAUCUGAUGCGGAAUUGAAAUUGGUCAUUAGAUUUUAUGAAGAAGAACACCCGAUAAAUUGAUUUCUCCCUCUUAACCUUUUUCCCUUAACUACACAAAUAAGGAAAAAAAAUUUAUGUGUUUUGUGUGCAACUCUAAUAAGUAAAGUGGGAUUAAUUUAUAAUGAUAAACUUUUAAUCUGAUCAAGUAACCCAACGAAAUGAUAAAAUUUAAUUUCUAUUAAAGUAAAACUUUUAGGCCCCAUGAUUUUAGAGUUAUUGGGUCCACAUAAUUGGGAUAAAAAUCUUACAUUCUCUCACUUGGCCUAAUGAGAUAAAACAUAAACUUUAAUAGAACAAUUGUUGAGUGCGCAUAAAAAUAAUAUAAAAUUUGUCAUUAAAAUUUGAUUAGGUUGACCUCAUAUAAUGUGGCAGAUGAUUAAUAGAAAAUAAACAUGUUAAAUUGACAAAUUUUGAUAGAAACUGCCAACGAUAAUAAUAACCAAAUUAGAAUUUUUAAAUUGAAAAGGGAGGACUGAAAUUUUAACUUUUAAAGUACAAGAACCCAAUCUCAAAUUAAUUACAAGUACAGGGACUAAUAACACAUGUUAGCUUCUUCUUCUUUUUUAGGUAACAAAAAUAAUCAAUAUAUGACCAACAUGCGGUAGAAAUUUAUUUUAUUUUAUUUUAAAUAUUAAAUUACUUUUAGUUUAAUUAAAAUUUUUAAUUUUUUUUAAUUUAACAAUUGAACCGAGUGAUAAAAUACUUGCAAAUAAAUAUUCUGUGGGCAAAGAUUUAAUCAUUAAAUAUUACAUUUUUAAUUAUUUCAUUUAAGUACGUCGCAUAAAAAUAGUAAAAAGCGAAAGUAUUAAUAUUAUAAUUUUGAGACACCUUACAUGCGAUUCAAUUGUCUAAUCCAAAUGCGCGACUUCACAUUAUGUUGUCAGGGUAACUCAAACUAACUUGAUAUCAUUUUACUAAGUAACAUACAUUCAAACAAAUAAAUCACGUAUAAUUUCAAUUAAAUCAUGUGUACAUGUUUAAUGAAUGUCAAUUGAUCUAGUUUAAAGUAUUUAGGAGUUGUAUAGGAUCAAAUAUAGAGUUGGGAUUCGAAUCCAAACUCAUUUAUCCAAAUUUUAUAGGGGGUUUCGAGACAUGACAUUCAUGUCUCGAGACACUAAUAUAAUAUGGUCUAAAAUGAACAUUUAAAUGCAUUCAAUCACAAAUCAAUUCGUACCUAACUUAAACAAACUUUACACAAUUUCAUAUGCAUCAAUUUAACAAACAAAUAUAUAACCAAAUAUCCAAACAAUUUAACAUCAAGUCACCUCAACCUAAUGUAGUUAAAUAAAUGGCUUAAUACUUAAAACCAUGCAAACUCAUUCAUUACUCAAGCAUUAAAACUCAACAAAAGAAACCUUAUAGGUCCAUAGCUAACCAAAGCAUACCAUAUUGACCAAAACAAUAUUUAACUCGAGCUGAAUUACUGACCUUAAAUGCUUUACAAUUUUGAUCUACUAAAAACCUGUUUGAGAUCUGCGCAUAAAAACAAACACAACUAUACGUUGAGUAUUAAAUACUUAAUGGUGCUAACAUAAUCUGAAUUCAAAUAUAAAACAUUAAGCAAUUUAAUAUACUAAAUAAACAUUUUAUUUAAUAGAUUCAAUAUCAUAAUACUAAGGGCCAGUUCUUCAUUGCUUAACAAAAGCACUUCUGACUCCAAAAGUACUUUUGAAAGAAAAACUGUGAAGAACAAGCUGCUUUUGGCUGAAAUUUUUAGCUUUUUUCUGAAAAGGAGCUGAAAAUGAGAAGCUAAAAAUUUUAGCUUUUACUCUCCCAAAAGCACUUUUUGUGCUUAAUUACUUUUUCACCCCUCCAAUAACAUAGUAUUUUCCUUUUUUUUCUUGGUGCUUAAUUACAAAUGUGUUAAAAUUAUUAAUUAAAAAUAAAAAAUAUUUCUUAAAAUACUAAUUACAAAUAUUUAAUGGUUAUAUUUAAAUAUUUAAAAUAUAGUUUAUAUAUUCUAAUUAAAUUUUAUAAAUAAUUAAUAUUUAUUGCUUAAAAAUAUUUAAAAUUUAUAUUUCAUAUAUUAAAAUAUUAACAAUAAGCUAUAAUAAUUUUUUUAUAUUCUUACUAAAAUAUAAUAAUAUUAACUAAUUUAAAUAUUAUUUAAAUGCAUAUUUGUUACUUGAUAAUAACAUGUCUAAAAUGGACAUUUUAUUUCUCAAAAGCACUUUUUGACAGUAAUACUAAACACUCAAAUUUUAAGCCAAACUUUUCAAAAGCACUCCUCAAAAGCACUUUUCCACAGCACUUUUUAAAAGCAAUGAAGAACUAGCCCUAAGAUGGCAUUCUAGUAUUUCAUUACCCAAUUUCAUAUCGAGCAACAAUCAUCCCGUAACUUUAUACCAUUUCAUUUAUUCACCCUCAGGGUAUUUAAGUGACAUUUACCUAUGCAAUCAAUUUUCUCCUCGUGAGGCAAGUUCCAAUGUCACGAUACCCAAAACAAUAUUGAAAUUGAGAGUCUUGGAGGUCUCGGUGUCAUGAUACCCAUCUUUGGUAUCGCUAUAUCACUGGAGUUGACCUUAAGUUUUUUCACUUCAGCAUUGUUAGGGGUAUUACAACUUUCAUGACCUCAAUGUCGUGAUACCCCGUUCUAAAUGAUAAUUUCCUCGAGUUUGGGCCAUUAUCAACUUCCUACACCAACUCAAUCAUAUCACUAGGUCCCCCAUGGCGCCAUUUGGGUCUUAAUAUGGCAUAAAACUAAUAAAAAUUAUUAAUUAAUAACAAAAACUAAAAAUCGACAAAAGUAAAGAAAAUACACUUAUAUUGCUUGAGAAUAAGCUCCUCGAGUGUAAUGGAAAGCCUAAUUUGACAUAUCAAAUUACGUCAGAUCACUUGUUCAGCACAGGUUCAAACCGUGUUACCCCCUUCCUCUACCCCUAAUAUUGUAUAAAAAAACUAAUUGCUAAUCUUCUAAUGUAGUCUCUGUACUAUAGUACUUAAUAGUUUAUAUAAUUUAAUUACUAAAUAAUUUUAUUUCUAAUUUAUCUUUUAUUUUUUUAAUCUCACACUCGCUUUGUAAUUGCUCGAUCAAAAUUUUGAACAACUCGAUUUAAUAAAUUUGAUCCCACAAUUAACUUUUCCGACAUUGAAAAAAAUCGAAUCAAUACAAUAUUAUAAAAAAAAAUUUUAAGUAUAGGUGUAGUUAGGAGUCCAUGUUUUUUUAUAUUAAUCUAGUUUGAAGAAAAAAUCAAAUAAUAAAAAGUAGCAAAUUUUAAAAAUUUAUUUUCCUAUAAAAAAAGUUGUUAAAUUAAAUUAUUAUCUUGAAUGAUGUUUUGGUAUAAAUUAUGCAUGGGUUCUUUUUAAAUCUAUUUUGAUUUAAAUUUCGUUGUGUGUGGACCAUAUUGAUUUAUAAUAUGUUUGGUUUGUGUUUUGUUUUUUUUUAAAAUAAAUUUGGGCUAAACUGGUGAACGAAAUAUAUCUUUAGAUGCUAAAUAGAAAUUAAAAAUUUAAAUAACCAAAACAAAUAUAUAUAUAUAUAUAUAUAUAUAUAUAAAAAUUCAAGAGCUCAAACAUGAAUAAAGGCUAAUAAAUUUUGUGAUAAUUUUCUCUCACCUAUAGGCAAAUAAUUUCAAAAAAUAAAUUAUUUGAUAUAUUAUUAAUAAAUUUUAAAAUUUUUAUUUAUGAAUUUAAUAAAAUGUUAUAAUUUUUACUAAAAUGAAAUAUAUUAAAAUAAUGUAACAAAAUUCAUAUUUUGAUUUAUUUGUGAAAAUUAAAAAUCUCAUCAAGUUUAUAUAAAAAUGUACUUUUUAUUUUAAAUAAACGAUAGAAUCAUUUGGUUGCACCGAAGUGCCUAUGUGUUGGGUCGGAUAGCACACAAAAUUUUCCUAAAGCUCUUGCCUAAGCAUUAUUUAGGAUGAUGGGCUUUGAUUGAUCUGUUAGCCCAAAAGGUUAUAUUAAUAUAUAUUUUAUAAUUAAAUUUAAAUAUAUUUUUUUAUUUUUAAAUGUGCUUCAGCACACUGAAAUUCACAAUAAUAACAAACGUUAAUUAAAUUAAUUAUUUAAAUACUAACUUUUUAUAAAUAAUGAUUUCGAUUUACAUGUUGAUCUAAGUCAUGCAAAAUGUCUAACGUACCAAUUUAUAUAACCAAAGAAAAUACUUUAAUUUGUAGUGUAAGCUACACCAUUAGUCAAUAAAUUAUUAAUACAUUUUUAUUUUGGUCAUUGAACUACUUAAAAGUUCUCAUUUAAGUCAUUAGACUGUUAAAAUCGAUGCUACAUGGUUUUCUCAAUUCGCAUUGCUUGCGCUAAUCGAAAGCUCUCUUUCUCAUUUUCUUCUACAGUUGAGUUUUUUUUUUAUGAAACAAUUUUGGAUGUUACAAAUCUAAAAAACCAAAAUUUAAACAACUUUUCCCUCCGAUCUCUUACAUUGAUCAUCACAUUGAUCUGGAUCUAAAGUAUGUUCUUUUACUCGUCAAUGGAUAUUGAUCCACAUACUGAUCCUCGAAUUGUUGCUUGAAACUCGCUGGUGGAACUUAAAAAAAAAAACUUAAUAACUUAGUGACUUAAAUAAAAACUCUUGAAUAGUUCAGUGACUUAAAUGAAAAUUUUAAAAUAGUUCAAUGACCAAAUUAUAAUUUUUUAGUUAAGUGACCAAAACAAAAAUUUACCCAUAAUUGUGUAUUUUUCACUAAUUUGUAUCACUAAAUUACUUUAAGGGAUAUUGAGGAGUGACAAUACUUGUUACAGAUAGGCAAAGUUUUCAUCAAAAUUUGAAAAAAAACCUAGUGCAAUAGUUAUAUAAACUUUAGGGUAAAUUACAUCAAUUGUCCCUAAUCUUUAAUUAAAAUUAUAUUUUAGUCACGUAACUUUCAAAAGUUACAUAAUUGUCAUUAAAGUUAUCGAAAUGUUACAUUUUAACCACUCAUCAUUUAACUUUCGUUAAGAAGAUGAUGUGGCACAUUAAUUUAACGGGUUAGUCCCUGAACAAUAAUUAAAAUAUCAAAUUGACACUUUUAAAAUUUUUCUUUAUAAUAAUUCUAAAAAAUUUAAAGGGUAAACUACUCCAAUAGUCACUUAAGUUUUAAUGCGUUCCUAUUUUGGUUACCAGAUUUUUUUUUUUGUUAAUUUAGUCAUUUCCAUUAGAUUAAUUGUCAUUUUUAGUCACUCCAUCGUUAAAAUACAUUAGUCAUUGAACGGAAUGUUGAUGUGGCAAUCUUUUGAUUGGUAUAAUAACAAAUUUAGCCCUUAACACUUUACAUAUUCUGUUUACUUGGUCCUAUGUUGAAAAAAUAAACAAAUUUAACUCAAUGUUUACACAUUUUGUCAAUUUAGUCCAAAUUCAAAAAUUUUAUAAUUUUAAAAACUUGAAAAAAUAUAUAUAAUUUAUUAUAAAAAGACAUAAAACUAAAAAAAUAUUAAAAAAAUAUAUAAAAUUACUUGGUUGGGCUUUGAUUGUAGAUGAAACAAUUUAUACUUUUCUUUGGCUGAUGCAAACUUGGUUUAUAGCAAUGGGGGAAUAGGCUCCGCAAGUGAUGCUCACUGAUCAAAACAAUGCCAUAAAAGUAGUUGUAGCUGCUGUGUUUCCUGCUGCACGACGUUGUUUCUGUGUUAUGGCAUGUCUUGGGUGACUAUCUAAGUAAUUUACCCUUUAAAUUUUUUAGAAAAAGAUUAAAAGUAUCAAUUUGAUAUUAUAGUUAUAGUUCAGGGGCUAAAUUAGUUAUUAACCCUUUAAAUUAACAUGUCGCAUCAUUCUCUUAACGAAAGUUGGGUGAUUUUAAUCAAAUGUGCAGUUUAUCUUAUGUAUAAACACCGUAUUAAUAGAGUUUAAUAAAUAUUGUUUUCGUAUAUGUAGAUUAGAUCGCUCAAUAGUUGAAUAGGUUACAUAGAUGAGGAAGUUAGGUUUGUAUAAAAGAAGAUUGAAAUGAUUCAAUCAUUUUUGUGAAAUAAUAUUGAACAAAUAAAAUUUGAACAUUCAUAAUAUUUUCUCAAAAUUACGAACUUCAUCGCAUAAAAAGAAAACACGAGACUAACGACUGUUUCUCGUUUGUUGACCAAUAUUAUCCGGAAGUAGCUUUCAAAUGCUUAAAAAGUAACAGUGUAUUUUACAAUAUUAUCAGGCUACAUGGCCUCACUUUGUAUUCAAUAUAUAUUAUAAAAGAAAGCAAAGAACAAAAAUACAAAAUAAAUAAAGAAACUUACAUAGUGCUUUAACUUAUUACAAAGGGAUUUGUCUCCUUAGUAUGUUUCUACCAUGGGAGAUCGCCACUUUUAUCCCAACUAUCAGGUUAUCAUUACGUUGCCUUGGAGACAUCCUUACUUGACCUAUUGUACUUCAUAUGGCUCCUAACUAGUUGUCCUGCUGAAAUUGCAGACAUGAGCGACAGCUCCCCGGCAAGAACAGCAGACGCUACAAUGGUUGCUAGCGUCCUAGAGUUUGCCCCCGGUGUCUCUUUGCUUGCACCCUUCACUCCAAGUAAGUUCAAACAGGCUGAUUGAGAUGCAAGCUGAGUUCCACCACCAACAGUCCCAACCUAAAAGAUACAGCAACACAGAUAAUUAGGGACUAACAUAAAUAUCCAGAUUUUGUUUUGGCAACGUAAGUCCCUGUGUUGGAUAAUCAGACAGCAACACUAUCAAUUACCUCGAUGGAAGGCAUUGUGACAGAGAUGUGGAGAUCCUUGCCAUCAUUAACAGCUUCCAUCAUCGUGAUGCAAUGCGAGCUCUCGACGUUUUGAGCCGGAUCUUGGCCGGUAGCUAUGUAGAUUGCAGCAACGAUGUUACUGGCGUGAGCGUUAAAUCCACCCAGAGCUCCAGCCAUAGCUGAUCCAGUAAGGUUCUUCAGCAUGUUAAGCUCAACGAGAGAUUCCACACUUGUCUUCAAGACCUUCCUAACCACAUCACCCUUAAUGGUGGCUUCACAGACAACAGAUUUGCCUCGUCCUUCAAUCCAAUUUACCGCAGCCGGUUUUUUGUCGGAACAAUAGUUUCCUAUAUGCACAAAUUCAUAAAUAUCAGUGAUCCUAUGUCGGACAGUAAAAAGACAUAAUUGCAAGCCUAUACAAAAAAAUGAAACUCACCAGAGAUGCCAAUGACAUCCAUGUCAGGGAAAUCAGUUUGAAGGAAAUCCAAAACGUUUUGCACUCCCUUGGAAACCAUGUUCAUCCCCAUAGCAUCACCUGUACUGCAAGUGAAUCUAAUAUACAGAUUCUUUCCAGCAAUUGCACAUUUGAUACCCUGGAGCCUGCCAAAUCUACUUGAUCUGCAACCACCAAAAAGCCAAAAUUUUCAAUAUUAGCUUGAAUUUUAAAUCAAUCAAUAUGGAGUUCUAGAAAUACACAAACAAACCUGUUGAAAACAACAGACAAGGUCUCGAAAUUAUCAGGGUCCUCCAAAUACAACUUCAAAUCAGCUGCCCUUUUCGCAGUACCGAACCUUACACAUGGAGCUCUUGUCAUACCAUCUUUCAAUAGAACACUUGUAGCUCCACCAGACAAAUGAAUAGCCUUACAGCCCCUAUUAGUGCUAGCCACCAAGCACCCUUCCGUGGUUGCCAUAGGAACCGAGUACUCUCUUCCAUUAACCAACAAAGGCCCGGCAAUUCCAACGGGAAUUUGCACGUAGCCAACCGGCAUCUCACAACACUGCCCUAAAAUCGACUCGUAAUCAAACCCAUCCAAGGGCAAUCCAGAUAACGACUUCCCUGUUAAUCUUUGCAACGCUUCCCGCCUGAUUGCAGCCGCCCUCUUGCAAUCACCCAAUUUCGAUUCCAAGGAAUACGAAGGGGUUGUACCAGCCACUACAGAUUUAAUUAUUUCUUCAUCUUCCUCCGUUAGUACCGUCACAGGCUUUUCAUCGAACACCUUCUGAAUGGUCACGAUUGGUGCCGCAGGAGGCAGAGGUGGAAGCGAACAAUCGAGAGCUUGCCCGCAAGGGACCUUACGGGCUUCUUCCUUUGCAAGCAGAACUUCAUCAUCCUCUUCCUCGUCCUCGGCAAUCCAAACGUCAGGCGAUGGUUGGAAAACCAAAGAUUGAACGAAGUCAAUUCCAAAGAAACCCAAAAGGUAAAUAAAGGACGCGAAAAAUGAGAGAAUGGCGAUGAUCUCGGAAAAGGUGACGACAUGGAGAGGUGUGGAGGUACGGAUCUUCUCACGCCAACGGGAAAGAAGAAAAUAAACCACCGAGAAGAAGAGGGUGAAGAACAGGGCGUUCGUUAGGUACAAGGGAAGCGGCAGUGCGUCGGAGGCUUUACCGGUAUCUUCCUCUAAAGGAAUCUUUUUCGUUGGCUUGAGAGAUUGAACAGGUUUAGUAGAAGAUAGCCGGUGAGCCUCCAUUUUGGGUGUCGACGGUGGCGGAAGCCCGAGACGAACGGAAAUGAGAGACAGCCGACGAUUUCAAUUAGUUUUCAGAGAAGGG